Molecule: ribosomal RNA, 379 nt
Filed under: Escherichia coli
Lineage: Bacteria; Pseudomonadati; Pseudomonadota; Gammaproteobacteria; Enterobacterales; Enterobacteriaceae
Description: bacterial SSU rRNA
Rfam family: Bacterial small subunit ribosomal RNA
Source: RNAcentral
UUAAAUUGAAGAGUUUGAUCAUGGCUCAGAUUGAACGCUGGCGGCAGGCCUAACACAUGCAAGUCGAACGGUAACAGGAAGCAGCUUGCUGCUUUGCUGACGAGUGGCGGACGGGUGAGUAAUGUCUGGGAAACUGCCUGAUGGAGGGGGAUAACUACUGGAAACGGUAGCUAAUACCGCAUAACGUCGCAAGACCAAAGAGGGGGACCUUCGGGCCUCUUGCCAUCGGAUGUGCCCAGAUGGGAUUAGCUAGUAGGUGGGGUAACGGCUCACCUAGGCGACGAUCCCUAGCUGGUCUGAGAGGAUGACCAGCCACACUGGAACUGAGACACGGUCCAGACUCCUACGGGAGGCAGCAGUGGGGAAUAUUGCACAAUGG